GGUCCUACGGGGGGCAGCAGUGAGGAAUAUUGGUCAAUGGGCGAGAGCCUGAACCAGCCAAGUCGCGUGAAGGAUGACGGCCCUAUGGGUUGUAAACUUCUUUUGUCAGGGAGCAAUUGAGUCCACGUGUGGGCUUAGCGAGAGUACCUGAAGAAAAAGCAUCGGCUAACUCCGUGCCAGCAGCCGCGGUAAUACGGAGGAUGCGAGCGUUAUCCGGAUUUAUUGGGUUUAAAGGGUGCGCAGGCGGAGGUGCAAGUCAGCGGUCAAAUUGCGGGGCUCAACCCCGUACUGCCGUUGAAACUGCA
This 305-nucleotide ribosomal RNA is filed under the name uncultured bacterium. RNAcentral's name for it is "bacterial SSU rRNA". It matches the Rfam family "Bacterial small subunit ribosomal RNA", at positions 335 to 637 of the family's 1533-position model. The record is from RNAcentral.